Molecule: long non-coding RNA, 503 nt
Filed under: Homo sapiens (human)
Lineage: Eukaryota; Metazoa; Chordata; Mammalia; Primates; Hominidae
Description: non-protein coding lnc-C1orf232-1:3
Source: RNAcentral
AGACCUGGGCAGGCAGGCGCGGGUGAGCAUCCUCUGAGAGCUUGGGUCUUGCGUAUGUGGAAGGUCAGAGACCCCUCUACCCUAGUUUCCACUUCUUGGUGUCAUGAAGACCACUGGUCUUCACGUCCGCUCCCACCCUACAGGCCGCCAGGGAGACCAGUGCCGCCCACCAUGCGAUUUCGACGCUUGACCCCUGGUUACUUCCGGGUGUUACAGAUGCAGGUAGCUGGUGAGCUGAAGGCAGAGCCCCGGAGUCUGCUGGCAGGAGUUGUGGCUACAGUGCUAGCUGUCCUCGGCCUGGGUGGCUCCUGCUAUGCCGUCUGGAAGAUGGUGGGGCAGCGGCGGGUGCCACGGGCCCCGUAACGAAGAAGAGAGACUCUCACUUGGAUGCUGGGGGGCUCGACGCUCAGCUGCUUCAGCCUGGGAGAAAGAAAAACAGGAGUUGGGAGCUGACCAGGUGAGAGCCCUAUCUGCUGAGCACCCAUCCAUCAAUCCUCUCCUUA